CCUACGGGAGGCAGCAGUGGGGAAUAUUGGGCAAUGGGCGAAAGCCUGACCCAGCAACGCCGCGUGAAGGAAGAAGGCUUUCGGGUUGUAAACUUCUUUUGACAGGGAAGAGCAGAAGACGGUACCUGUCGAAUAAGCCACGGCUAACUACGUGCCAGCAGCCGCGGUAAUACGUAGGUGGCAAGCGUUGUCCGGAUUUACUGGGGGUAAAGGGCGUGUAGCCGGGCUGACAAGGCAGAUGUGAAAUCCGGGGGCUCAACCCCCGAACUGCAUUUGAAACUGUUGGUCUUGAGUAUCGGAGAGGCAGGCGGAAUUCCAAGUGUAGCGGUGAAAUGCGUAGAUAUUAGGAGGAACACCAGUGGCGAAGGCGGCCUGCUGGACGACAACUGACGGUGAGGCGCGAAAGCGUGGGGAGCAAACAGGAUUAGAUACCCCGGUAGUC
Molecule: ribosomal RNA, 442 nt
Filed under: uncultured bacterium
Lineage: Bacteria
Description: partial 16S ribosomal RNA
Rfam family: Bacterial small subunit ribosomal RNA
Source: RNAcentral